UAGAGUUUGAUCAUGGCUCAGGACGAACGCUGGCGGCGUGCUUAACACAUGCAAGUCGAACGGAAAGGCCCUUCGGGGUACUCGAGUGGCGAACGGGUGAGUAACACGUGGGUGAUCUGCCCUGCACUUUGGGAUAAGCCUGGGAAACUGGGUCUAAUACCGAAUAUGACCACGCGCUUCAUGGUGUGUGGUGGAAAGCUUUUGCGGUGUGGGAUGGGCCCGCGGCCUAUCAGCUUGUUGGUGGGGUAAUGGCCUACCAAGGCGACGACGGGUAGCCGGCCUGAGAGGGUGACCGGCCACACUGGGACUGAGAUACGGCCCAGACUCCUACGGGAGGCAGCAGUGGGGAAUAUUGCACAAUGGGCGCAAGCCUGAUGCAGCGACGCCGCGUGAGGGAUGACGGCCUUCGGGUUGUAAACCUCUUUCAAUAGGGACGAAGCGCAAGUGACGGUACCUAUAGAAGAAGGACCGGCCAACUACGUGCCAGCAGCCGCGGUAAUACGUAGGGUCCGAGCGUUGUCCGGAAUUACUGGGCGUAAAGAGCUCGUAGGUGGUUUGUCGCGUUGUUCGUGAAAACUCACAGCUUAACUGUGGGCGUGCGGGCGAUACGGGCAGACUAGAGUACUGCAGGGGAGACUGGAAUUCCUGGUGUAGCGGUGGAAUGCGCAGAUAUCAGGAGGAACACCGGUGGCGAAGGCGGGUCUCUGGGCAGUAACUGACGCUGAGGAGCGAAAGCGUGGGGAGCGAACAGGAUUAGAUACCCUGGUAGUCCACGCCGUAAACGGUGGGUACUAGGUGUGGGUUUCCUUCCUUGGGAUCCGUGCCGUAGCUAACGCAUUAAGUACCCCGCCUGGGGAGUACGGC
Molecule: ribosomal RNA, 864 nt
Filed under: Mycobacterium sp. TR-1266
Lineage: Bacteria; Bacillati; Actinomycetota; Actinomycetes; Mycobacteriales; Mycobacteriaceae
Description: bacterial SSU rRNA
Rfam family: Bacterial small subunit ribosomal RNA
Source: RNAcentral